Molecule: ribosomal RNA, 510 nt
Filed under: bacterium enrichment culture DGGE band YJ_20C_4h
Lineage: Bacteria
Description: bacterial SSU rRNA
Rfam family: Bacterial small subunit ribosomal RNA
Source: RNAcentral
AGGCAGCAGUGGGGAAUUUUGGACAAUGGGCGAAAGCCUGAUCCAGCCAUGCCGCGUGAGUGAAGAAGGCCUUCGGGUUGUAAAGCUCUUUCAGCCGGAAAGAAAUCGCGCAGGCUAAUACUCUGCGUGGAUGACGGUACCGGAAGAAGAAGCACCGGCUAACUACGUGCCAGCAGCCGCGGUAAUACGUAGGGUGCGAGCGUUAAUCGGAAUUACUGGGCGUAAAGCGUGCGCAGGCGGUGAUGUAAGACAGAUGUGAAAUCCCCGGGCUCAACCUGGGAACUGCGUUUGUGACUGCAUCACUCGAGUACGGCAGAGGGAGGUGGAAUUCCGCGUGUAGCAGUGAAAUGCGUAGAUAUGCGGAGGAACACCGAUGGCGAAGGCAGCCUCCUGGGCCAGUACUGACGCUCAUGCACGAAAGCGUGGGGAGCAAACAGGAUUAGAUACCCUGGUAGUCCACGCCCUAAACGAUGUCAACUAGUUGUUCGGUGAGGAGACUCAUUGAGUAAC